GCACAGAGAGCUUGCUCUCGGGUGACGAGCGGCGGACGGGUGAGUAAUGUCUGGGAAACUGCCUGAUGGAGGGGGAUAACUACUGGAAACGGUAGCUAAUACCGCAUAACGUCGCAAGACCAAAGUGGGGGACCUUCGGGCCUCAUGCCAUCAGAUGUGCCCAGAUGGGAUUAGCUAGUAGGUGGGGUAACGGCUCACCUAGGCGACGAUCCCUAGCUGGUCUGAGAGGAUGACCAGCCACACUGGAACUGAGACACGGUCCAGACUCCUACGGGAGGCAGCAGUGGGGAAUAUUGCACAAUGGGCGCAAGCCUGAUGCAGCCAUGCCGCGUGUGUGAAGAAGGCCUUCGGGUUGUAAAGCACUUUCAGCGGGGAGGAAGGCGGUGAGGUUAAUAACCUUGGCGAUUGACGUUACCCGCAGAAGAAGCACCGGCUAACUCCGUGCCAGCAGCCGCGGUAAUACGGAGGGUGCAAGCGUUAAUCGGAAUUACUGGGCGUAAAGCGCACGCAGGCGGUCUGUCAAGUCGGAUGUGAAAUCCCCGGGCUCAACCUGGGAACUGCAUUCGAAACUGGCAGGCUAGAGUCUUGUAGAGGGGGGUAGAAUUCCAGGUGUAGCGGUGAAAUGCGUAGAGAUCUGGAGGAAUACCGGUGGCGAAGGCGGCCCCCUGGACAAAGACUGACGCUCAGGUGCGAAAGCGUGGGGAGCAAACAGGAUUAGAUACCCUGGUAGUCCACGCCGUAAACGAUGUCGAUUUGGAGGUUGUGCCCUUGAGGCGUGGCUUCCGGAGCUAACGCGUUAAAUCGACCGCCUGGGGAGUACGGCCGCAAGGUUAAGACUCAAAUGAAUUGACGGGGGCCCGCACAAGCGGUGGAGCAUGUGGUUUAAUUCGAUGCAACGCGAAGAACCUUACCUGGUCUUGACAUCCACAGAACUUUCCAGAGAUGGAUUGGUGCCUUCGGGAACUGUGAGACAGGUGCUGCAUGGCUGUCGUCAGCUCGUGUUGUGAAAUGUUUGGGUUAAGUCCCGCAACGAGCGCAACCCUUUAUCCUUUGUUUCCCACCGGUUAGGCCGGGAACUCAA
Molecule: ribosomal RNA, 1081 nt
Filed under: Klebsiella pneumoniae
Lineage: Bacteria; Pseudomonadati; Pseudomonadota; Gammaproteobacteria; Enterobacterales; Enterobacteriaceae
Description: bacterial SSU rRNA
Rfam family: Bacterial small subunit ribosomal RNA
Source: RNAcentral